AAUUCGAUUAGUUUGAUCAUGGCUCAGGAUGAACGCUGGCGGUAUGCUUAACACAUGCAAGUCGAACGGAACCUUCGGGUUUAGUGGCGGACGGGUGAGUAACGCGUGAGAAUCUGCCUUUAGGACGGGGACAACAGUUGGAAACGGCUGCUAAAACCCGAUGUGCCCUUCGGGGUGAAAUAUUUAUAGCCUGAAGAUGAGCUCGCGUCUGAUUAGCUAGUAGGUGAGGUAAAGGCUCACCUAGGCGACGAUCAGUAACUGGUCUGAGAGGAUGACCAGUCACACUGGGACUGAGACACGGCCCAGACUCCUACGGGAGGCAGCAGUGGGGAAUUUUCCGCAAUGGGCGCAAGCCUGACGGAGCAAGACCGCGUGAGGGACGAAGGUCUGUGGAUUGUAAACCUCUUUUGACAGGGAAGAAGAACGUGACGGUACCUGUCGAAUCAGCCUCGGCUAACUCCGUGCCAGCAGCCGCGGUAAUACGGAGGAGGCAAGCGUUAUCCGGAAUUAUUGGGCGUAAAGCGUCCGUAGGUGGGUAUCCAAGUCAGUUGUUAAAGAGGGAAGCUUAACUUCAUAGAGGCGACUGAAACUGGAUGUCUAGAGAGUGGUAGGGGUAGAGGGAAUUUCCAGUGUAGCGGUGAAAUGCGUAGAUAUUGGAAAGAACACCGGUGGCGAAAGCGCUCUACUGGGCCAUUACUGACACUGAGGGACGAAAGCUAGGGGAGCGAAAGGGAUUAGAUACCCCUGUAGUCCUAGCCGUAAACGAUGGAUACUAGGCGUUGCCCGUAUCGACCCGGGCAGUGUCGUA
Molecule: ribosomal RNA, 808 nt
Filed under: uncultured bacterium
Lineage: Bacteria
Description: bacterial SSU rRNA
Rfam family: Bacterial small subunit ribosomal RNA
Source: RNAcentral